Molecule: unclassified non-coding RNA, 395 nt
Filed under: soil metagenome
Description: partial contains 5.8S ribosomal RNA, internal transcribed spacer 2, and large subunit ribosomal RNA
Rfam family: 5.8S ribosomal RNA (bases 1-122)
Source: RNAcentral
GAUGAAGAACGUAGCGAAAUGCGAUACUUGGUGUGAAUUGCAGAAUCCCGUGAACCAUCGAGUCUUUGAACGCAAGUUGCGCCCGAAGCCAUCAGGUUGAGGGCACGUCUGCCUGGGCGUCACAUAUCGUUGCCCAAUGCCUAUUGCAGUGCAAUAGGAAUUUCUAGGGCGAAUGAUGGCUUCCCGUGAGCGUUGUUGCCUCGCGGUUGGUUGAAAAUCGAGUCCUUGGUAGGGUGUGCCAUGGUAGAUGGUGGUCGAGUUAGAACGAUACCGAUCAUGUGCAUGCUCCCCAAAACAUGGCCUCUAUGACCCACACGCGUCUUUUGACGCUCAUGACGAGACCUCAGGUCAGGCGGGGCUACCCGCUGAAUUUAAGCAUAUCAAUAAGCGGAGGA